AUCCGGAGGGACUCUUGCCGUAAAACCCCCCAAUUUCCAAAGGUGACCUCGGAUCAGUAG
Molecule: ribosomal RNA, 60 nt
Filed under: Sordariomycetes sp. MD4
Lineage: Eukaryota; Fungi; Ascomycota; Sordariomycetes
Description: partial 28S ribosomal RNA
Source: RNAcentral